UAGGGAAUCUUCGGCAAUGGACGAAAGUCUGACCGAGCAACGCCGCGUGAGUGAAGAAGGUUUUCGGAUCGUAAAACUCUGUUGUUAGAGAAGAACAAGGACGUUAGUAACUGAACGUCCCCUGACGGUAUCUAACCAGAAAGCCACGGCUAACUACGUGCCAGCAGCCGCGGUAAUACGUAGGUGGCAAGCGUUGUCCGGAUUUAUUGGGCGUAAAGCGAGCGCAGGCGGUUUCGUAAGUCUGGUGUGAAAGCCCCCGGCUCAACCGGGGAGGGUCAUUGGAAACUGGGAGACUUGAGUGCAGAAGAGGAGGGUGGAAUUCCAUGUGUAGCGGUGAAAUGCGUAGAUAUAUGGAGGAACACCAGUGGCGAAGGCGGCUCUCUGGUCUGUACCUGACGCUGAGGCUCGAAAGCGUGGGGAGCAAACAGG
RNAcentral lists this ribosomal RNA (429 nucleotides) under Gemmatimonadota bacterium. RNAcentral's name for it is "Gemmatimonadetes bacterium partial 16S ribosomal RNA". It matches the Rfam family "Bacterial small subunit ribosomal RNA", at positions 355 to 776 of the family's 1533-position model. Lineage: Bacteria; Pseudomonadati; Gemmatimonadota. The record is from RNAcentral.